ACAGAGGGUGCGAGCGUUGUCCGGAAUCACUGGGCGUAAAGGGCGUGUAGGCGGCUGGAUAAGCCGCGUGUGAAAUCCCGGGGCUCAACCCCGGAACGGCACGCGGGACUGUUCGGCUAGAGACUGGUAGAGGCAAGUGGAAUUCCUGGUGUAGCGGUGGAAUGCGUAGAGAUCAGGAAGAACACCGGUGGCGAAGGCGGCUUGCUGGGCCAGUUCUGACGCUGAGGCGCGAAAGCGUGGGGAGCAAACAGGA
Molecule: ribosomal RNA, 253 nt
Filed under: uncultured prokaryote
Description: partial 16S ribosomal RNA
Rfam family: Bacterial small subunit ribosomal RNA
Source: RNAcentral